UGGGACCAGCAGGCCGGGGUAAUUAACGGAAGGGGUGCCGGAGCGUUUAUUGGAAUUUACUGGGGCGUAAAAGCGCAUGCAGGUGGUUUGUUUAAGUCAUGAUUUGAAAGCCCCGGGGCUCAACCUCGGGAAUUGCAUUUUGAAACUGGCAAACUAGAGUACUGUAGAGGGGGGGUAGAAUUUCAGGUGUAGCGGUGAAAUGCGUAGAGAUUUGAAGGAAUACCGGUGGCGAAGGCGGCCCCCUGGACAGAUACUGACACUCAGAUGCGAAAGCGUGGGGAGCAAACAGGAUUAGAUACCCUGGUAGUCCACGCCGUAAACGAUGUCUACUUGGAGGUUGUGGCCUUGAGCCGUGGCUUUCGGAGCUAACGCGUUAAGUAGACCGCCUGGGGAGUACGGUCGCAAGAUUAAAACUCAAAUGAAUUGACGGGGGCCCGCACAAGCGGUGGAGCAUGUGGUUUAAUUCGAUGCAACGCGAAGAACCUUACCUACUUUUGACAUCUACAGAAGCCAGCGGAGACGCAGGUGUGCCUUCGGGAACUGUAAGACAGGUGCUGCAUGGCUGUCGUCAGCUCGUGUUGUGAAAUGUUGGGUUAAGUCCCGCAACGAGCGCAACCCUUAUCCUUGUUUGCCAGCACUUCGGGUGGGAACUCCAGGGAGACUGCCGGUGAUAAACCGGAGGAAGGUGGGGACGACGUCAAGUCAUCAUGGCCCUUACGAGUAGGGCUACACACGUGCUACAAUGGCGCAUACAGAGGGCGGCCAACUUGCGAAAGUGAGCGAAUCCCAAAAAGUGCGUCGUAGUCCGGAUUGGAGUCUGCAACUCGACUCCAUGAAGUCGGAAUCGCUAGUAAUCGUGGAUCAGAAUGCCACGGUGAAUACGUUCCCGGGCCUUGUACACACCGCCCGUCACACCAUGGGAGUGGGCUGCAAAAGAAGUGGGUAGUUUAACCUUCGGGAGGACGCUCACCACUUUGUGGUUCAUGACUGGGGUGAAGUCGUAACAAGGUAACCG
This 1015-nucleotide ribosomal RNA is filed under the name uncultured bacterium. RNAcentral's name for it is "bacterial SSU rRNA". It matches the Rfam family "Bacterial small subunit ribosomal RNA". The record is from RNAcentral.